AACGCUAGCGGCAGGCUUAACACAUGCAAGUCGAGGGGUAUUGGUUUUCGGACCAAGAGACCGGCGCACGGGUGCGUAACGCGUAUGCAAUCUACCUUUGCAGAGGGAUAGCCCAGAGAAAUUUGGAUUAAUACCUCAUAGUAUAGUACUUUGGCAUCAAGGAACCAUUAAAGUCACAACGGCAAAAGAUGAGCAUGCGUCCCAUUAGCUAGUUGGUAAGGUAACGGCUUACCAAGGCUACGAUGGGUAGGGGGUCCUGAGAGGGAGAUCCCCCACACUGGUACUGAGACACGGACCAGACUCCUACGGGAGGCAGCAGUGAGGAAUAUUGGACAAUGGGCGCAAGCCUGAUCCAGCCAUGCCGCGUGCAGGAUGACGGUCCUAUGGAUUGUAAACUGCUUUUAUACAGGAAGAAACACUCCGACGUGUCGGAGCUUGACGGUACUGUAAGAAUAAGGAUCGGCUAACUCCGUG
RNAcentral lists this ribosomal RNA (474 nucleotides) under uncultured bacterium. RNAcentral describes it as "bacterial SSU rRNA". It matches the Rfam family "Bacterial small subunit ribosomal RNA", at positions 32 to 507 of the family's 1533-position model. The record is from RNAcentral.